GACGAACGCUGGCGGCGUGCUUAACACAUGCAAGUCGAACGGAAAGGCCCUGCUUUUGUGGGGUGCUCGAGUGGCGAACGGGUGAGUAACACGUGAGUAACCUGCCCUUGACUUUGGGAUAACUUCAGGAAACUGGGGCUAAUACCGGAUAGGAGCUCCUGCUGCAUGGUGGGGGUUGGAAAGUUUCGGCGGUUGGGGAUGGACUCGCGGCUUAUCAGCUUGUUGGUGGGGUAGUGGCUUACCAAGGCUUUGACGGGUAGCCGGCCUGAGAGGGUGACCGGCCACAUUGGGACUGAGAUACGGCCCAGACUCCUACGGGAGGCAGCAGUGGGGAAUAUUGCACAAUGGGCGGAAGCCUGAUGCAGCAACGCCGCGUGCGGGAUGACGGCCUUCGGGUUGUAAACCGCUUUCGCCUGUGACGAAGCGUGAGUGACGGUAAUGGGUAAAGAAGCACCGGCUAACUACAUG
This 468-nucleotide ribosomal RNA is filed under the name uncultured bacterium. RNAcentral's name for it is "partial 16S ribosomal RNA". It matches the Rfam family "Bacterial small subunit ribosomal RNA", at positions 28 to 507 of the family's 1533-position model. The record is from RNAcentral.